UCAGAUUGAACGCNGGCGGCAGGCCUAACACAUGCAAGUCGAGCGGCAGCGGAAAGUAGCUUGCUACUUUGCCGGCGAGCGGCGGACGGGGUGAGUAAUGUCUGGGGAUCUGCCUGAUGGAGGGGGAUAACUACUGGAAACGGUAGCUAAUACCGCAUAACGUCGCAAGACCAAAGCGGGGGACCUUCGGGCCUCGCGCCAUCAGAUGAACCCAGAUGGGAUUAGCUAGUAGGUGGGGUAAUGGCUCACCUAGGCGACGAUCCCUAGCUGGUCUGAGAGGAUGACCAGCCACACUGGAACUGAGACACGGUCCAGACUCCUACGGGAGGCAGCAGUGGGGAAUAUUGCACAAUGGGCGCAAGCCUGAUGCAGCCAUGCCGCGUGUAUGAAGAAGGCCUUCGGGUUGUAAAGUACUUUCAGCGAGGAGGAAGGCAGUAAGGUUAAUAACCUUAUUGAUUGACGUUACUCGCAGAAGAAGCACCGGCUAACUCCGUGCCAGCAGCCGCGGUAAUACGGAGGGUGCAAGCGUUAAUCGGAAUUACUGGGCGUAAAGCGCACGCAGGCGGUUUGUUAAGUCAGAUGUGAAAUCCCCGAGCUUAACUUGGGAACUGCAUUUGAAACUGGCAGGCUAGAGUCUUGUAGAGGGGGGUAGAAUUCCAGGUGUAGCGGUGAAAUGCGUAGAGAUCUGGAGGAAUACCGGUGGCGAAGGCGGCCCCCUNGACAAAGACUGACGNUCAGGUGCGAAAG
RNAcentral lists this ribosomal RNA (747 nucleotides) under Budvicia diplopodorum. RNAcentral's name for it is "bacterial SSU rRNA". It matches the Rfam family "Bacterial small subunit ribosomal RNA", at positions 24 to 759 of the family's 1533-position model. Lineage: Bacteria; Pseudomonadati; Pseudomonadota; Gammaproteobacteria; Enterobacterales; Budviciaceae. The record is from RNAcentral.